This 124-nucleotide microRNA precursor is filed under the name Brassica napus (rape). Its description in RNAcentral is "MIR9563 microRNA precursor family". It matches the Rfam family "MIR9563 microRNA precursor family". Lineage: Eukaryota; Viridiplantae; Streptophyta; Magnoliopsida; Brassicales; Brassicaceae. The record is from Rfam by way of RNAcentral.
GGAAUAUAAGAACCCGUCUCUUAAUUUUUAACUAAAAAGCUAAAAACCGGUUCUUAAAUAAGAGUUUUAAGAACCGGUUCUUAGCUUUUUUAGUUAAAAGUUAAGAGACGAGUUUUUAUAUUCC